GCGGGUGAAAAGCCCGCUCGCCGGAAGACCAAGGGUUCCUGUCCAACGUUAAUCGGGGCAGGGUGAGUCGACCCCUAAGGCGAGGCCGAAAGGCGUAGUCGAUGGGAAACGGGUUAAUAUUCCCGUACUUGGUGUUACUGCGAAGGGGGGACGGAGAAGGCUAUGUUGGCCGGGCGACGGUUGUCCCGGUUUAAGCGUGUAGGCUGGUUUUCCAGGCAAAUCCGGAAAAUCAAGGCUGAGGCGUGACGACGAGGCACUACGGUGCUGAAGCAACAAAUGCCCUGCUUCCAGGAAAAGCCUCUAAGCAUCAGGUAACACGAAAUCGUACCCCAAACCGACACAGGUGGUCAGGUAGAGAAUACCAAGGCGCUUGAGAGAACUCGGGUGAAGGAACUAGGCAAAAUGGUGCCGUAACUUCGGGAGAAGGCACGCUGACACGUAGGUGAAGUGAUUUACUCAUGGAGCUGAAGUCAGUCGAAGAUACCAGCUGGCUGCAACUGUUUAUUAAAAACACAGCACUGUGCAAACACGAAAGUGGACGUAUACGGUGUGACGCCUGCCCGGUGCCGGAAGGUUAAUUGAUGGGGUCAGCGCAAGCGAAGCUCCUGAUCGAAGCCCCGGUAAACGGCGGCCGUAACUAUAACGGUCCUAAGGUAGCGAAAUUCCUUGUCGGGUAAGUUCCGACCUGCACGAAUGGCGUAAUGAUGGCCAGGCUGUCUCCACCCGAGACUCAGUGAAAUUGAACUCGCUGUGAAGAUGCAGUGUACCCGCGGCAAGACGGAAAGACCCCGUGAACCUUUACUAUAGCUUGACACUGAACAUUGAGCCUUGAUGUGUAGGAUAGGUGGGAGGCUUUGAAGCGUGGACGCCAGUCUGCGUGGAGCCGACCUUGAAAUACCACCCUUUAAUGUUUGAUGUUCUAACGUGGACCCGUAAUCCGGGUUGCGGACAGUGUCUGGUGGGUAGUUUGACUGGGGCGGUCUCCUCCUAAAGAGUAACGGAGGAGCACGAAGGUUGGCUAAUCCUGGUCGGACAUCAGGAGGUUAGUGCAAUGGCAUAAGCCAGCUUGACUGCGAGCGUGACGGCGCGAGCAGGUGCGAAAGCAGGUCAUAGUGAUCCGGUGGUUCUGAAUGGAAGGGCCAUCGCUCAACGGAUAAAAGGUACUCCGGGGAUAACAGGCUGAUACCGCCCAAGAGUUCAUAUCGACGGCGGUGUUUGGCACCUCGAUGUCGGCUCAUCACAUCCUGGGGCUGAAGUAGGUCCCAAGGGUAUGGCUGUUCGCCAUUUAAAGUGGUACGCGAGCUGGGUUUAGAACGUCGUGAGACAGUUCGGUCCCUAUCUGCCGUGGGCGCUGGAGAACUGAGGGGGGCUGCUCCUAGUACGAGAGGACCGGAGUGGACGCAUCACUGGUGUUCGGGUUGUCAUGCCAAUGGCACUGCCCGGUAGCUAAAUGCGGAAGAGAUAAGUGCUGAAAGCAUCUAAGCACGAAACUUGCCCCGAGAUGAGUUCUCCCUGAGACUUAGAGUCUCCUGAAGGAACGUUGAAGACGACGACGUUGAUAGGCCGGGUGUGUAAGCGCAGCGAUGCGUUGAGCUAACCGGUACUAAUGAACCGUGAGGCUUAACCUU
Molecule: ribosomal RNA, 1628 nt
Filed under: Salmonella enterica
Lineage: Bacteria; Pseudomonadati; Pseudomonadota; Gammaproteobacteria; Enterobacterales; Enterobacteriaceae
Description: partial 23S ribosomal RNA
Rfam family: Bacterial large subunit ribosomal RNA
Source: RNAcentral